AUUGAACGCUGGCGGCAUGCCUUACACAUGCAAGUCGAACGGUAGAGGGGCAACCCUCGAGAGUGGCGAACGGGUGAGUAAUGCAUCGGGACGUGCCCAGUCGUGGGGGAUAACACUUCGAAAGAAGUGCUAAUACCGCAUACGACCUGAGGGUGAAAGCGGGGGAUCGCAAGACCUCGCGCGAUUGGAGCGGCCGAUGUCAGAUUAGGUAGUUGGUGGGGUAAAGGCCUACCAAGCCGACGAUCUGUAGCUGGUCUGAGAGGACGACCAGCCACACUGGGACUGAGACACGGCCCAGACUCCUACGGGAGGCAGCAGUGGGGAAUUUUGGACAAUGGGCGAAAGCCUGAUCCAGCCAUGCCGCGUGCGGGAAGAAGGCCUCGGUUGUAACG
RNAcentral lists this ribosomal RNA (392 nucleotides) under uncultured bacterium. Its description in RNAcentral is "bacterial SSU rRNA". It matches the Rfam family "Bacterial small subunit ribosomal RNA", at positions 29 to 430 of the family's 1533-position model. The record is from RNAcentral.